This 406-nucleotide ribosomal RNA is filed under the name uncultured bacterium. RNAcentral's name for it is "partial 16S ribosomal RNA". It matches the Rfam family "Bacterial small subunit ribosomal RNA", at positions 30 to 526 of the family's 1533-position model. The record is from RNAcentral.
AUUGAACGCUGGCGGCAGGCUUAACACAUGCAAGUCGAACGAGCGGCGGACGGGUGAGUAAUGUCUGGGAAACUGCCUGAUGGAGGGGGAUAACUACUGGAAACGGUAGCUAAUACCGCAUACCAUCGGAUGUGCCCAGAUGGGAUUAGCUAGUAGGUGGGGUAAAGGCUCACCUAGGCGACGAUCCCUAGCUGGUCUGAGCGGAUGACCGGCCACACUGGAACUGAGACACGGUCCAGACUCCGACGGGAGGCAGCAGUGGGGAAUAUUGCACAAUGGGCGCAAGCCUGAUGCAGCCAUGCCGCGUGUGGGAAGAAGGUCUUCGGGUUGUAAAGUACUUUCAGCGAGGAGGCGUUACCCGCAGAAGAAGCACCGGCUAACUCCGUGCCAGCCGCCGCGGUAAUUC